UACGUAGGGUGCGAGCGUUGUCCGGAAUUAUUGGGCGUAAAGAGCUCGUAGGCGGUGUGUCGCGUCGGCCGUGAAAACCUGGGGCUCAACUCUGGGCGUGCGGUCGAUACGGGCAUCACUUGAGUUCGGCAGGGGAGACUGGAAUUCCUGGUGUAGCGGUGAAAUGCGCAGAUAUCAGGAAGAACACCCGUGGCGAAGGCGGCUCUCUGGGACGGUACUGACGCUGAGACGCGAAAGCGUGGGGAGCGAACAGG
RNAcentral lists this ribosomal RNA (254 nucleotides) under uncultured bacterium. Its description in RNAcentral is "partial 16S ribosomal RNA". It matches the Rfam family "Bacterial small subunit ribosomal RNA", at positions 524 to 776 of the family's 1533-position model. The record is from RNAcentral.